AAGUCCCUGUGUCACAAUAGUGCGAAAUAAUGUCGCGCAAGUAGCAAAUUAAAAGAACGAAAGAAACAAGAGAAGAGAAGACAGAAUAAAAGAGAAGACACAAUAGAAAAUACCGCGCCUUUGAACUUGGCAAAACUGUCACCGAUUACAACGAAAGUAACGACAACCGUUUCGCUUAAACCGAAAUAGCACAAUUCUGCCUGGAGAAAAUUACAAAGCACUAUGUAUUUAUAAAGACCAAGCACCGCCGACCGAACGUUGCUCGCGAUCAUCCGCGUUGGAAAAAAUUUAACGGAAAAUAAAGUUUUACAUCGGCCGGCAUGGACUUCCGGGCCCGAAUAUUAUCGAAAAUGUACGGGGUCGAUUUCGUUGGAAAAUGUACGAAGGACGCAAGCGAUAUAAAAAUGUGGAGGAUUUAAAAGAAGCGAUUUCGAUGACAUGGACAGACUUGGAUCGCAAGUAGAUAAAAAGUUAUGCAAGACCAGAACCACCGAAUCAGUCAAAGUGACUGGUUUCUGACUUCUUUCUUUUGCAUUUCUCCUGAUACCAUACAGUAUAAUAAUAAACUGAAUUGGAAGUUG
Long non-coding RNA from Megalopta genalis, 581 nucleotides. RefSeq lists it as uncharacterized. Lineage: Eukaryota; Metazoa; Arthropoda; Insecta; Hymenoptera; Halictidae. The record is from RefSeq and is a predicted model, not a curated record.